Molecule: long non-coding RNA, 821 nt
Filed under: Danio rerio (zebrafish)
Lineage: Eukaryota; Metazoa; Chordata; Actinopteri; Cypriniformes; Danionidae
Description: si:rp71-1c10.9 (ENSDARG00000096686.3)
Source: RNAcentral
AUCCAUUCCUUUUUGUGUGUGAUCCCUUAGCACGGCUGACUGGACAUUUCACCGAGAUGUUAACAACACCACGGCCCAAAUUCCCACCUCUUCAUCUGUUUAACCGCCUCUGACACUGAUCCCCAGCGAUGAGAGACAGCUGAUUAUACAGAUGCAGAUCUCCCCAUGCAUGGCAAACAUAAAGCAAUAUGGCCUGCUGUCUCUUUAACAACGUGACUUAUAAAUCAUGCUUUUUGUGCUAAAAGACAAUGUCAUCAUACCUACAUUCAGAUGCGAGCAGGUACUGAGGACUGACUGAUCCAGAAGGAGACCCAGGACAAGACCACCAGAGCACUGGAGGGAACGUACGUCUCCAGAAUAAAAUACAGGAUGCUUCGCUUGAGUUUGAAGUGGAAGAUCAACUUCGGGUAUGAGCUUGGAUUGCCACCUGUGUGACGUCCAAAUUGAGCGCACAAACUUGUAUAACGGAGAAAGACAGAAAACGACUGGGAAAGAUCAAAUGAGAGGAAGUGAGACAGAUGGUGAGAGACACGGAGAGAGAGAGUUUGGAAGACAGACGGAGAGCUUCAGGUCACUGACAUGAUGUCUCUAUUGUUACUCUCAUUAAACUGUUACUAAUGUUUAAAACAAUUAUCAUAAAUAAAUAAGAAGCGAACCAUGGGUCACUGCCUAUAUAUUAGCCUUCAUAAACACUUGAAAGACUCAAACAAAACACAGCAAAGUUAGAAGGAAAGAACGAUCUUAGGCAAUUUUCAGUGGUAUCAGAACAUUUAUAUUUCGGCAUGUUUUUCUAGAUGAAGUCUGACUCCACAUGACUAUCC